Molecule: long non-coding RNA, 949 nt
Organism: Sitodiplosis mosellana (orange wheat blossom midge)
Lineage: Eukaryota; Metazoa; Arthropoda; Insecta; Diptera; Cecidomyiidae
Exons: 3
Source: RefSeq, a predicted model, not a curated record
UAUUGAGCGUUGAAUAUUGGCCAGUGUUAGAUCUGGAAUUUAUCUGAAACUUUCAGACUGAAAAUUAUUCUGCCGUCAUUGACUUAUCUUAUCAAUUGAAAUGGUAUGAAGAUUGGUGUGAAAUAAGUUAGAUGUACCGAUAAUCAAGGUGGGUUAGUCAGUGGUUGAAUUUCGACAAAGCAAUUAGAACGUCCUUAAAAUUUUCAAACAACUUCGAAAUAAUUGAACUUCAACGAUUAACUUUGAACUGAGUAAUUAAAGUGAUGGCAUUGAAAAAUAAGGAAAACGUUGUUAACAUGGAAUCACAUCCACCGACUCUGACGCCUCAGCACAAUGAAAUUGCUAAUGAACCUCCACCACCCUAUAGUAUUUCUAUUGAUUCGAGCGAAAACCUUAAACCUUAUCCAGUUUCCAACAUCGAAUCCAACUCCAAUUCUAAUGAUGAAGUAUUGGCUGUUGUGGUAGAAAGAAAGUCCUAUAUAAGAAAGUCGAAUAAAAGCACUGCUGCAGCGAUAUUUGUCAUUUGUAUGCUAAUAGUUUUAGCAAUUAGGUUAUUUCGACUCGCAACCUAUAAUAAAUAAUAUUGAUUUUAAAAAAUGACAAAAAUGAUUAUUACAAUAGACAGAUAUCCAAUAUCGAUACGAAGUCGGAAUGAAACAGCUCUUCCAAUUUAUACCGUACCCACACGACCAGAAACAAGAAGUUAUUCUGAUGUACCUGCUCCGUCACCCAUAAAAUUAUUGACAAAAAAAGAUAAAUUCAAAAUGUUGUUACUAUUAUUAGCAAUUUUGAUGCCUAUCACACAUAAGUGCCUUAUCCAAUAUCGCCAAAACAAUUGACCUUAAAAUUUAGAACUAAUGAUUUAUAGCGUUUCAACAUCAACUUUCUAAUUUACUUGCAAAAUCAAUUUCUUAUACCUAAAACGUACGAAAACGUGAACUAAUUCCAU